This 376-nucleotide small RNA is filed under the name Pan troglodytes (chimpanzee). RNAcentral's name for it is "processed transcript". Lineage: Eukaryota; Metazoa; Chordata; Mammalia; Primates; Hominidae. The record is from RNAcentral.
ACUGUGACCUGUUGCUGAGGUGAUCUGAUGAUAUAGGUCUUGCCUUUCAUUUUAACUGCCAUUCUGGCAACUGAACGUUGGCAGUAAACGCAGCUUAGUUGUCUCAGAGGACUCACAAUGGGAUGUGUUUAUAGUUGUUUCCUCGAAGUGUGUUGUGACGAGGAUCAAAUAGUGUAUCCUAAGAUGCCAGGGGAAUCCACCGUCUGCCACCGCGAGCGUGAGAAGCCAAUCACCUAUCACUGGCAUCACUGGCAUCCCGGCCAUAUAUACCCUAGAAUUGCAUCAAUGGAAGAUUACGAUGAGGACCUGGUGCAGGAAGCUUCAUCUGAAGAUGUCCUGGGCGUUCAUAUGGUGGACAAAGACACAGAGAGAGACA